AAAAAUUGCAAAAUAUUUGAAAAUUUUUAACAUUUUCAAAUUUCAUUUUUUAUUGCUUAUGACAUUUUUUACACACAACAACAAUUAUACAUAAAUAUUUAUUUGUGAUUUACCAUUCUGGCACUUCCUUAUUAUAAUCAAUUAAAAAUUAUAAUAUGAAUGCUAUUAAUUUGUUACUAGACUAUGAAAUAAACAAUUUAAAGUUAUUUUUCAAACUCAUAUUUUAUCCUAAUCAUAUUGUUAUUUGCCACAGCUCGAUCUGCCACCUGGUGGAUAUUUUUGGUGUUAUUUUAGGGAUGAUCAUUUGUAUUUCAAAAUGGAGUAUAGAAGUCGCAAACUAUAUUCUGUUCCACAAUGCUCAUUACGAGCUAAAAAAGGAAUAAGUUUACAUGCAUUUCCAAAAGAAAAGAAAUUAAGAAAUUUGUGGAAGAUUAAAUUAAAAAUAGGAAAGGAUAUAA
This 458-nucleotide long non-coding RNA is filed under the name Androctonus crassicauda. The record is from RNAcentral. Lineage: Eukaryota; Metazoa; Arthropoda; Arachnida; Scorpiones; Buthidae.